GUGGGGAAUAUUGGGCAAUGGGGGCAACCCUGACCCAGCGACGCCGCGUGGGUGAAGAAAUCCCUCGGGAUGUAAAGCCCUGUUGUAUGGGAAGAGCAGAAGACGGUACCAUACGAGGAAGCCCCGGCAAACUACGUGCCAGCAGCCGCGGUAAUACGUAGGGGGCAAGCGUUGUCCGGAAUUACUGGGCGUAAAGCGCACGCAGGCUGACUUAUAAGUCGGUAGUCUAAUGCGGAGGCUCAACUUCCGUUUAUCUAUCGAUACUGUAAGACUAGAGUAUGUGAGAGGGAAGUGGAAUUCCAGGUGUAGCGGUGAAAUGCGUAGAUAUCGGGAGGAACACCAGUGGCGAAGGCGACUUCCUGGCACAAUACUGACGCUCAUGUGCGAAAGCUAGGGUAGCGAACGGGAUUAGAUACCCUAGUAGUCC
This 427-nucleotide ribosomal RNA is filed under the name uncultured bacterium. RNAcentral describes it as "partial 16S ribosomal RNA". It matches the Rfam family "Bacterial small subunit ribosomal RNA", at positions 354 to 796 of the family's 1533-position model. The record is from RNAcentral.